Molecule: ribosomal RNA, 542 nt
Filed under: uncultured bacterium
Lineage: Bacteria
Description: bacterial SSU rRNA
Rfam family: Bacterial small subunit ribosomal RNA
Source: RNAcentral
AAUAGAUACCCAGGUAGUCCACGCCGUAAACGAUGAUCACUAGGUGUGUGCGGUAUCGACCCCGCACGUGCCGUAGCUAACGCAUGAAGUGAUCCGCCUGGGGAGUACGGCCGCAAGGUUGAAACUCAAAGGAAUUGACGGGGGCCCGCACAAGCGGUGGAGCAUGUGGAUUAAUACGUCACUAACCGUAGAACCUUACCUGGGCUCGAAGCGUAGUGGACUGAGGUAGAAAUAUCUUUUUCCCGCAAGGGACUGCUACGUAGGUGCUGCAUGGCUGUACGUCAGCUCGUGUCGUGAGAUGUUGGGUUAAGUCCCGCAACAAGCGCAACCCUUAUUGCCAGUUGCCAUCAUUUAGUUGGGCACUCUGGCGAAACCGCCCCGGAUAACGGGGAGGAAGGUGGGGAUGACGUCAAGUCCUCAUGGCCUUUAUGUCCAGGGCUACACACGUGCUACAAUGGUUGGUACAAACCGUCGCAAACCCGCGAGGGGAGCUAAUCGGAAAAGCCAAUCCCAGUCCGGAUUGGAGUCUGCAACUCGACUCC